This 746-nucleotide long non-coding RNA is filed under the name Cinara cedri. The record is from RNAcentral. Lineage: Eukaryota; Metazoa; Arthropoda; Insecta; Hemiptera; Aphididae.
GUCAUUAUUCGAUUCCGCUGUUGUUAACUUCUACUUCAGAAAAAUAAAAGGUAGGUAUAUUAAAUGGGUACCUAAUGUACUUACCUAUACAAUAAUGUUUUACAACGGACGAUCACGUUAACCAGGCGGCUUGUGAGAUUUGCAAAUGCAGUGUGGUAAAUAUUUCGGAGAUGGGAUUACAUGGACAGGGCAUGUAUAAUAUACCUAUACCUAUAAUCAAAUACAUACAAAAUGAAGACACGGAGCUGUUAUUAUAAUUUGUUGAUUUCAUUGACUUCAGUUUUCAGUAUGAUUUUACAAAUUUGAACACAUGUUAAUACUUAUACAUAUUUUUCUGAAACCGAUCAAUACUAUAUUUUAAACGAAACUAAUUGUUUUAAUUUUUUGAAAUUAUGAUAUUUGUAUGAUAAACUAAUUAUAUUUUUAUUGUAGACGAAAGAGCGCUUCCGGCAAGCCACUACUGACGUUACGAUGUAAAUCCGGUGAUUGCAAAAUUGCGGCCAUCGCGAACGAAAUUAUAACCGAAGUUUGUGAUGGUCACGCUCGUGGCAAAUGUGAGUGCUGGCGUGCAAACAAGAACAGACGAUUGUGCAUUGUGAUUUCUAAGAAAAUGUAUAAUUUUCGUAAAUUUAUUGAAAUAACAUGAAUAGAAAUAUAGCAUACAAAAUAAUUUGUACUCUGGAAAAGCACAUAACUUAAUUACUAUUUGUACACAAAGUAUAAAAAAUAUACGUAAUACUUACACC